RNAcentral lists this ribosomal RNA (1365 nucleotides) under Cyanobium gracile PCC 6307. Its description in RNAcentral is "bacterial SSU rRNA". It matches the Rfam family "Bacterial small subunit ribosomal RNA". The record is from RNAcentral. Lineage: Bacteria; Bacillati; Cyanobacteriota; Cyanophyceae; Synechococcales; Prochlorococcaceae.
CUGGCUCAGGAUGAACGCUGGCGGCGUGCUUAACACAUGCAAGUCGAACGAGCCUUCGGGCUAGUGGCGGACGGGUGAGUAACGCGUGGGAAUCUGCCCUCAGGAGGGGGAUAACGGCCGGAAACGGCCGCUAAUACCCCAUAUGCCGAGAGGUGAAAUGAAUUUCGCCUGAGGAUGAGCCCGCGUCUGAUUAGCUAGUUGGUGGGGUAAUGGCCCACCAAGGCGACGAUCAGUAGCUGGUCUGAGAGGAUGAUCAGCCACACUGGGACUGAGACACGGCCCAGACUCCUACGGGAGGCAGCAGUGGGGAAUUUUCCGCAAUGGGCGAAAGCCUGACGGAGCAACGCCGCGUGAGGGAUGAAGGCCUCUGGGCUGUAAACCUCUUUUCUCAAGGAAGAAGACAUGACGGUACUUGAGGAAUAAGCCACGGCUAAUUCCGUGCCAGCAGCCGCGGUAAUACGGGAGUGGCAAGCGUUAUCCGGAAUUAUUGGGCGUAAAGCGUCCGCAGGCGGCCUUGUAAGUCUGUCGUUAAAGCGUGGAGCUUAACUCCAUUUCAGCGAUGGAAACUACAAGGCUUGAGUGUGGUAGGGGCAGAGGGAAUUCCCGGUGUAGCGGUGAAAUGCGUAGAUAUCGGGAAGAACACCAGUGGCGAAGGCGCUCUGCUGGGCCAUAACUGACGCUCAUGGACGAAAGCCAGGGGAGCGAAAGGGAUUAGAUACCCCUGUAGUCCUGGCCGUAAACGAUGAACACUAGGUGUCGGGGGAAUCGACCCCCUCGGUGUCGUAGCUAACGCGUUAAGUGUUCCGCCUGGGGAGUACGCACGCAAGUGUGAAACUCAAAGGAAUUGACGGGGGCCCGCACAAGCGGUGGAGUAUGUGGUUUAAUUCGAUGCAACGCGAAGAACCUUACCAGGGUUUGACAUCCUGCGAAUCCCUUGGAAACGAGGGAGUGCCUUCGGGAGCGCAGAGACAGGUGGUGCAUGGCUGUCGUCAGCUCGUGUCGUGAGAUGUUGGGUUAAGUCCCGCAACGAGCGCAACCCACGUCUUUAGUUGCCAGCAUUCAGUUGGGCACUCUAGAGAGACCGCCGGUGAUAAACCGGAGGAAGGUGUGGAUGACGUCAAGUCAUCAUGCCCCUUACAUCCUGGGCUACACACGUACUACAAUGCUACGGACAAAGGGUUGCAAGCUCGCGAGAGUUAGCUAAUCCCAUAAACCGUGGCUCAGUUCAGAUCGUAGGCUGCAACUCGCCUACGUGAAGGAGGAAUCGCUAGUAAUCGCAGGUCAGCAUACUGCGGUGAAUACGUUCCCGGGCCUUGUACACACCGCCCGUCACACCAUGGAAGUUGGCCAUGCCCGAAGUCGUUA